Onthophagus taurus is the source of this 631-nucleotide non-coding RNA. The record is from RefSeq and is a predicted model, not a curated record. NCBI's taxonomy places the organism in Eukaryota, Metazoa, Arthropoda, Insecta, Coleoptera, Scarabaeidae.
GGUUCUUUUUCGCGUUUUAAUUAAUUUCUCAUCAAGUUUACAAUAAUUAAGUGUUUAAUUGUGGUUAAUCGUCAAAAAUCGACUCCCUUUUGGUUACUCCUUCUGAUGAUGAAUCAAAAUUAAAGCAAUCAAAGAAAAGGAAGAAUUUGAGUGUUUCAACGUCCGAAUAUUCAAGCGGAUUGGAAUCGUUGAAAAAGAAAAGUAAAAUGAAUUAAAAUUAAAAAUAAAUUUAUUUGUUUCUUCUUCUUCCACCUGUUUCUUUGUGGUUAAUCGUUCGUUUAAACCCAGAUCCUAAUUAGCUUAAUUCUGUUAAUUACCAAAAGCCGCCUUAAGGAGGAAGAUCAUUAAGGGCCGCGGCAAUUAAACACUAAUUAUUACCGAAGAAGAAGUAAUAUCAAGGAGAAGAAAGAGGUGUUUUUGUAUUGUUACGCGAGUCGACAGUAAUUAAUUGCAUGGAAGGCAAUCGGGGUGCCGAAGCGGGGCCACGGCCCCCAAUGGGGGCCUAAUAGCCCACUGCUCCCGCUCGGCAGACCACAAAGGGGUUCCGCGACACUCCAAACAUCAUUAGUUAUGUAUUGUCUAAACUAAUCUGGCGGAACCGCGCCCACGAAAUAAAUUUUCUUUAUUUUCA